This is a long non-coding RNA of Anneissia japonica, 1066 nucleotides long. RefSeq lists it as uncharacterized. Lineage: Eukaryota; Metazoa; Echinodermata; Crinoidea; Comatulida; Comatulidae. The record is from RefSeq and is a predicted model, not a curated record. The transcript is spliced from 3 exons.
AAAUAAUACGCAACGAAAAUUUGUUCCAACGAAAUGAACCAGUCGAAUGAGCCCAUGUUUAUAUUGCAAUAACCGCUAGAGUAAGAUGCAUGCGCACACAACGGUAACCGCAAAAACAGUUCGUAUCAACACACAUGGAAAUUCUGUUCUGUCACUGCAACCUGGCCUAGGCUAGCUUAGGCGACCUACGCUUUUACGUUCUUACUUAGAUUUAUUUUACGUGUCAAACGAUCUAUAUAAGCAUCGUAAGGGCACUGAGGCCAAGGCUUCAAAAGGGCAGGCAAGUAGUGGCCGUCGUCAUGCUUCAUUUUCAGGGGCACCAAGGCCAACUGGGAGGGAACCGUCGGCAAUGGCCGCGGUAAAAUUUGAGGCCUGAGCAGAAACUACGAAAAUGUUACAAAGUCGACUUGGUUUGAGACGCGUUUCUCUUUAACGUUUGUAGCGAUAUAGUAGCAGUUUCAUAGCACUAUUAUCAAACAUGAUUGGCACAAUCCUGAAAUGGAUAUUAAUUUUACCACACACAAGAAACAAAGUGCACGCAACCUUGUAUAAAUUUUAUACACUUAGGCAAUACUCGAUUCCCGCUUCUAGCGAGUGAUAUUUAAAGCCUUAAAGAAUUAUAUCCACCUCUAAACAAUUGACUUGGUAAUCUACACGCACUAGUCCUCCAAAUAAUUUAAGCACGGAUACUUGAUGGCUUACCUGAACUUAUGCUGGGCAGUUCAAACAAGUACACCAAAGUUACAAGAGUGAAUUUGAUAAGUUCCAUUUUGGCUUCUAUCUCGAACGAUGUAAUGUACAAAAGUGCGGUACGGCCUUUGUUUACACAUCCUUAAAGCUUAUGAUAUUUUAUGGUAGAAUAAAAAAGAAAAGGACUGUAAUUCCGAACAAUGACAUAUUCUAGUUACUGAACCGUAAGCAGUAUUUAUUCGUGUGUCAUGAUUCUUGCAGAUGUUUGUGUAAAGAAUUGAAUAGGGACAGGUUCACUGAACAGCGUGGAUAUAAACAUUAACAGUUAAAUUUUAGCCUUGAUAAAUGUUUCUUACUCUAAUACCAUAUAUACAUA